This is a long non-coding RNA of Lontra canadensis (Northern American river otter), 161 nucleotides long. RefSeq lists it as uncharacterized. The transcript has 3 exons. Lineage: Eukaryota; Metazoa; Chordata; Mammalia; Carnivora; Mustelidae. The record is from RefSeq and is a predicted model, not a curated record.
GCAACCAGGAUCUCUCCAAUUUUCUUAGAAAAGCAGUUAACUUGUUGCUUCCUCAAAGAUUUUAUUCAUCCUGAACCCCAAGAGGAAGGCCCUCUUCCAAGAAACGAGCGACUAUGUAUCUGAAAGCACGUCCAUGAGCAAGAACAGCCCUAGGCCUUUCG